GAUCAUUACCGAGUGAGGGCCCUCUGGGUCCAACCUCCCACCCGUGUUUAUUUACCUUGUUGCUUCGGCGAGCCUGCCUUUUGGCUGCCGGGGGACGUCAGUCCCCGGGUCCGUGCUCGCCGGAGACACCUUAGAACUCUGUCUGAAGAUUGUAGUCUGAGAUUAAAUAUAAAUUAUUUAAAACUUUCAACAACGGAUCUCUUGGUUCCGGCAUCGAUGAAGAACGCAGCGAAAUGCGAUACGUAAUGUGAAUUGCAGAAUUCAGUGAAUCAUCGAGUCUUUGAACGCACAUUGCGCCCUCUGGUAUUCCGGAGGGCAUGCCUGUCCGAGCGUCAUUGCUGCCCUCAAGCACGGCUUGUGUGUUGGGCCCCGUCCUCCUUCCGGGGGACGGGUCCGAAAGGCAGCGGCGGCACCGCGUCCGGUCCUCAAGCGUAUGGGGCUUUGUCACUCGCUUUGUAGGCCUGGCCGGCGCUUGCCGAUCAACCAAACUUUUUAUCAGGUUGACCUCGGAUCAGGUAGGGAUACCCGCUGAACUUAAGCAUAUCAAUAAGCGGAGGAA
This 559-nucleotide unclassified non-coding RNA is filed under the name Penicillium bialowiezense. RNAcentral's name for it is "sequence contains 18S rRNA gene, ITS1, 5.8S rRNA gene, ITS2, 28S rRNA gene". The stretch from base 182 to 335 matches the Rfam family "5.8S ribosomal RNA". The record is from RNAcentral. Lineage: Eukaryota; Fungi; Ascomycota; Eurotiomycetes; Eurotiales; Aspergillaceae.